RNA transcript from Drosophila gunungcola (fruit fly), 1474 nucleotides. It is a transcript of the gene named apoptosis regulatory protein Siva, with no coding region annotated. The record is from RefSeq and is a predicted model, not a curated record. The transcript is spliced from 4 exons. Lineage: Eukaryota; Metazoa; Arthropoda; Insecta; Diptera; Drosophilidae.
CCCUAGUUCAAAUUAGAGUUUAAAACCUGGUGGUAACCUGUGAUUUAAACCUCUGUAGUGAUUUAAUUUGACAAAAAUGAAAACCUCAGCAGGCCCUUAUUUAAAAGCCAUUUCUGUGUUUACAAAAGUACCUAUUGGCAAAGGAAAACUUUUCAUCAAAGACCCUCCUUAUAAAAGUGAUUAUUUUUGCACAUUUUUUACCUCAUUUCUUAUUGAAGGCUGCCUGUGUAACUGCACUUUCUCAAAAAGUUUUAUUUUGGCCAGUCGAUUGGAGAAUAAGGAUUUUGGAUUCCUAGUAUCAUGCCACGUCGCAAGAACACGAAUCACAAGGGUCGCAAUCGCCAGUUCACGCCAGUGGAUGAACUGAAACUGGAGCGGAACGGGAUAAGCCAGGACGAAGUGGACCCGGGCCAGGAACAAUCGAAAAGUCAGUGGAAGAUGAAUUGGAACCUGGAUUCUGGGCACGCUUUCGAUCGUAGCCGUGGUGUCCACAGCCUGAUUGAGGUCUCCAAUCCGAAUCGUUUGCCACGUGAGAAGCCAUUGAGCCUUCUCACAGCCAUGACAACUCGGGAUCAACAUUCCCAGCUGGAUGAAGCCAUCCAACGGGGGCGACGUGAGAGGAAGCGGGAGAGGAUUGAAAGCGAAAAUAUGCAGAGGAGCAGGGAUGCGAAGGCGGAUUUGGCCAGAUUGGCAUUGGUUCGCCAGGAACGGGAGGCGGCUGCCGAGCGUCGGUUGGCCGCCAAAAAAGAAGCCGCAAAAACUGCCGCCUCCAGUUCUGAAAGUUGUCUCAAGAAGAUCAACCCCAAGCCACCGCUCGUGGUUGUGGACUCACCACGGAAGGUCCUGGAACUAAACAGCCCCUCGGGCUAUCAAGCCAACGACCGCUCUGGAAGCAAAAUUUGAAAAAAAAAAAAAAAAAAACGGUAGAACAUGUAUAUUUAGAACGACCAGAAAUAACUCGACAAAACGUCCUAAUUAAAAAACCAAUUAUUAAUUGGGCUUUAACUAAAGAACAACUUAGAAAUGAUUUGAAAACAACCCUAAUUAAAAGUUCAGCAGGAAAAUGAAACGAAAUCUAGAAGCCAAAGCGGUUGUUGAAAAAUUCCAAACAUCAAAUCACAGGCGACCAGCAAAACGUCGUUUUAAAUGUCAUUUCUCAAAAGAAAUAUCAAAAUAUUUACUAAUAAAAAAGCCAAAAGUAAAAGAGCUUCAUCGAUUUAUUUCUUAAUUUAUUCGUGUUGCACAUUUUUCCCACAAGAAAAUAAAGAUUACUUUGUUGAUCACAGCUUUCCGUAAAAAAGCCAAAGUGAAGAAAGUUAACUAGCGCUAAUUAGCGGCAUUGCGUACGCGUUUUUUGCAACACUGCUACCGGCAUCAAGUUAAGAAAGAGCGGAGUUAAACUCAAAUUAACUAUAAUCCAGGAUACAAACGAGGAAAUCGGCAAAGGCAAGUGGUAAUCCGAGUCCAAAAAUAU